This 1159-nucleotide long non-coding RNA is filed under the name Brachypodium distachyon (stiff brome). RNAcentral describes it as "long non-coding RNA (BDIS_LNC001321)". The record is from RNAcentral. Lineage: Eukaryota; Viridiplantae; Streptophyta; Magnoliopsida; Poales; Poaceae.
UUUAUUUUUUUUCUCCUAGAAAACUCCCUCUAUGUCUCUCUUCCUUCCUUGAAAGUUCAUAUGUUUGAUCGUGCGCACCAUUCAAAGGUAACACCUAGUAUUAAAUUCCUGUGUUUGGAAUCCUAGAGAAAUUCCCGAUACGUAACAUCUCAAUUAUAUCUCUUUUGAUUUAGCGUAUUUUCAAAUUCCUGCAAUCCGAAGAAGUGUUUCGAGAGUUCCUUUACCCACACAAUUAUGUAUCUAUCAUUUAUUGUCAUAAUAUUUCAAGAAUUAAUUGAAAUAUUAUCUUCUAUUUUUCUCUUAAAAUACAAUCGGUACUAGCAAUAAAGUUUUCUACUAAAAGUUGUGUGUUUACUAUAUGAAAUUAUUUCAUUAAUCAUGUGCAUUUUUUCUUUUUAUUUUAAUUUUUGUUAUGUUUUUGCUCUGUGUACGGUAUAUUUUAUUCGUAUAUUUGUAAUUCAUAGAUUCUUGUUUUGUUUUAUGUACGAUGUACCGAGGUAAUCUAGCUGGUUGGAUCCUUAUAUAUAACGGUGAACAAAGUUAGGACAAAACCAGAACGGACCCAAGCCCUCGCUCAAAAUUAUAAAUUGUAAUACACUAUUUUGUAGUUCAGAAGAGAAAAUUUGUCUUUCUCUUUAGAUACUGCAAAUUUGAUUUUUUUACAAACAUAAACAUCGACAAUUGGCAUUGCAAUAGAUGUUCCCUUAUUAUAAGAUAUAAAUAUCCAAUCGGUUAACAUUUAGUAAUGAGGCAAAAAAAAAUUUGGAAGGGUAAACAUUUUCUUUGGAAGGGGAUGCAACUUAUUUGGUCAUGAGAACCUAUAUUUGUGCAUGGGGUACGAGAUAGGCAUACUAGCUAGAUGCACUCGAACGGAUUACCCUUCCACUUCCGUGGUUUUGCACACAACUUCUCAACAGGCUUGUUUUCUUGUAAAAUGGAUCCCUAGCGGCCAAACACUCUUAUUUUGCAUGAGCGUUUAACUCCUCAUCUUCCUCCUCCACAGCCGCUAGAAGCUUCAGCCGGUGACUUUGACUGUUCCUCGCCCUACCACACCACAUAUCUCACUGUUCCCACUAUGAUGCAUCGCAUUCUUCACCGGCUAGCUCUGCCUGACGAGUGGGUCCAUCUAUCAAAUUUGAUACAAAUUGGCAAGCGUGGU